Xiphophorus couchianus (Monterrey platyfish) is the source of this 699-nucleotide long non-coding RNA. RefSeq lists it as uncharacterized. The transcript is spliced from 2 exons. The record is from RefSeq and is a predicted model, not a curated record. NCBI's taxonomy places the organism in Eukaryota, Metazoa, Chordata, Actinopteri, Cyprinodontiformes, Poeciliidae.
GCUGAUCUUUGACAACCUGCACCAGUUCAAUCUGAAUAAAGAAUAAAAGAUGUGAGCUGAAGCCAACAGGAUGCAGGUUAAAACUGAAAUAUAAACAAAUAAAUAAUAAUAAUGUAGAAUAUUAAUUUCCCUGAAUGUAAAAGAAACAUGAUGAACUGAUUCUAACAUCUGAUCCAGUCAAACUGGUUUAAAGAGUCCAAACCAGCAGAACCAGAACAUUUGAUCAAAAAAGAAACUCAAAAGUUUUUCUAAAAGUUUCUCAGGAUCUUAAACUCAGUCGGAUGUUUUUUUUUUCUCUCUCCAUGUUUCCUUACAGGCUGACUGCUCUGUACCAUCAUUUAUCAACAGAGAUAUUUUAUGUCUCCAGUUUUUGUUAAUUAAUCUAUUAAUUAGGUUUUCUUGCUGGUUGUAUUUUAACUUCAGCUCAUUGCUAAGUAUGACAGAUGUAAACGGGUUUAUUUCAAUCUGUCUAAUUCAGUGUUUUACAAUAUCCAUUAAAGCUCACAUUCUGAAAGUUGAUCAUUUUCUCAUUUUGUGCUGAUUCAGUUACCGAACUAUCAACUAGAAAAUAUUUAGCCUUUUCUCUGUGAGAUUGAUGUGGGUCAUUUAGUUCAAGUUCUGAAUCCUUCAUCAGAGAUGGCUGCAUAAAUGGGAACAUUAUCAUAAAGGAAAAACAGGAAGGUGCAGAUGAGUCAUUUU